RNAcentral lists this long non-coding RNA (1512 nucleotides) under Sarcophilus harrisii (Tasmanian devil). Its description in RNAcentral is "lncRNA (ENSSHAG00000030474.1)". The record is from RNAcentral. Lineage: Eukaryota; Metazoa; Chordata; Mammalia; Dasyuromorphia; Dasyuridae.
CAAAUUCCUCUCAUCUUUCACUGUCCUGAUACAUCUCUAAUUCCCAGUGAGUGUAAUUACUUGAAAACUUUUAAGGCGCUCACACUUCCCUUUGCCAUGACCUUUAAUUAAAUAGGACUAUAGUCAUUUAAAAUUGGUUUUUUUAAGUUGUUGGAUUGAUUUUUUUAAAAAAGAUUAUCUGAUAAUAAGAGUACCACCAGCUUUUAUUUUAUUAUCUAAGGUGUUUGUUUUCUGUAGAUAUUAGCAGUAAAUUUACUAACAUUUUUAGAAUUUUUAUAGUCAAAGUGGUUUAUUUUUUAUUGCUUUACAGUCUGUCAUAGAAAUGUAUAGUAGUUGUAUUUUGAAAUACCAUAGCUUACUUGGUAUUAUAAAAUACUGUGACUCACAAGCCAAGUCCUCUUUGCCAUGUAAACAUAGAAACUACUAGCAUGUCAAAAGUGAAAACAUAUUUCUUUUUUUUGGAAAUACUUUACAGUUGUAAUAUAAGUAAAUUUUUUAUUUUGAUAUGUAGUAUGAAAUUUUAAUAUUGCACUAAAUAGAAUGACUUAAACCUGUAUCAUUUCAACAGAUUACAAUAGAUCUGAAUGCAUAACUUUUGUUUGUCCCAAAUGAGCAGUGAAAGGGGUAAAGUUUCCAUACCCAACACUGUUAACAGAGAAGAGAGAAUCAGCACUUUAUUUAGACAUAAACCUUUCUGGCAAAUCUGAGGAGAUAAGAAUGUGGCGUAAUAGAGUUUAAGAAAACUAAGCAGAAACUUUAAGGAGGACGGAGAGGGGGGCAGUUUAACGCCCUUUUUCUUACUCCAGCUCAAGCUCUGUAAACCAUUCUGAGACACAAGUACCAAGAGUAUGAUUUGUUUUGCUUUGUAUUUUAAAGAAACUGACAAACUUGCUAUGGUACUUGCCCUUAGGGCUUAUGACCCCUAUAUCUUCUGUUCCCAUAACUGUUCAGAAAGACUGCAAAAUCUAAAAGCACAUCAAUUGUAUUUAAAAUCUAGUUGAAAAGCUGACUGAUUUUACUUUUUCUCAGACACUGAAAUCAUUCUUUCUAAGACAGGGUGGGAAAGACGAAUAUGCUUGAUAGGAAACCUAAAACAUUGUGUGAUUGGUAACUUGUGACUUAUAUACUGUUAUUUUCAGUCUUUUAUUUGACCUUGCAUUUUUUAUUUAUAUUAAGUUUUUCCUCUUUUUUGGUUUUGUUUGAGGUUCUCUGGAGCAGUGGUUAAGCUAGCCACUUUGUAAUGUUAAGAUAUUUGUUGAGUAGUAAAGCACUGACUUUAGCCUAUUCCCUUCUUCCUUUGUUCUAGUAAAGUGCAGGAGUAAUUGAUUAAUUUGUUUUCUGUUAUUUUUAGAUAUGUAAAUUAAUAUUUAUUUAUUUAAAACACCAGUGACAAUAAACCAGUUAACUGCUGCAUUCUGCUUUUGUUAUGUUGGGUCUGUACUGUUGCAUUGUAUGAGUAAGACAGCAAAAAUGUGAAUUAAAACAUUUUAAUACACAUCUUCAGAAGAAUAA